AACCUAGCACACCUGCGGUGUGUACCUGCGGAGGGAUCAUUACCGAGUUUACAACUCCCAAACCCCUGUGAACAUACCUAUACGUUGCCUCGGCGGAUCAGCCCGCGCCCUGUAAAAAGGGACGGCCCGCCCGAGGACCCUAAACUCUGUUUUUAGUGGAACUUCUGAGUAAAACAAACAAAUAAAUCAAAACUUUUAGCAACGGAUCU
Molecule: unclassified non-coding RNA, 209 nt
Filed under: soil metagenome
Description: partial contains 5.8S ribosomal RNA, internal transcribed spacer 2, and large subunit ribosomal RNA
Source: RNAcentral